RNAcentral lists this transfer RNA (73 nucleotides) under Dipodomys ordii (Ord's kangaroo rat). It matches the Rfam family "tRNA". Rfam says of the family: Transfer RNA (tRNA) molecules are approximately 80 nucleotides in length. The record is from Rfam by way of RNAcentral. Lineage: Eukaryota; Metazoa; Chordata; Mammalia; Rodentia; Heteromyidae.
GGAGGUGUGGCUCAAAAGAUAGAGCACUUGCCUAGCAAGGCCAAAACCAUGAGUUCAAACCCCAAUGCCACCA